This 393-nucleotide ribosomal RNA is filed under the name uncultured bacterium. Its description in RNAcentral is "bacterial SSU rRNA". It matches the Rfam family "Bacterial small subunit ribosomal RNA", at positions 28 to 418 of the family's 1533-position model. The record is from RNAcentral.
GGCGAACGUUUGCGGCGGGCUUAACACAUGCAAGUCGAACGGGCUGUUCCUUCGGGGGCAGUCAGUGGCGCACGGGUGCGUAACACGUAGGUAAUCAACCCUCUGGUUGGGGAUAACACUUCGAAAGGAGUGCUAAUACCCGGUAUGGCGCAGCGGUCUUCGGAUCGCGGCGAGAAAGACCCGCAAGGGUUGCCAGAGGACGAGCCUGCGGCCCAUCAGCUAGUUGGCGAGGUAACGGCUCACCAAGGCGAAGACGGGUAGCUGGUCUGAGAGGAUGAUCAGCCACACUGGAACUGAGACACGGUCCAGACUCCUACGGGAGGCAGCAGUGGGGAAUAUUGCGCAAUGGGCGAAAGCCUGACGCAGCCACGCCGCGUGAGCGAUGAAGGCCUC